AGAGCGAACGCUGGCGGCAGGCUUAACACAUGCAAGUCGAGCGCCCCGCAAGGGGAGCGGCAGACGGGUGAGUAACGCGUGGGAACGUACCUUUGGUUCGGAACAACACAGGGAAACUUGUGCUAAUACCGGAUAAGCCCUUACGGGGAAAGAUUUAUCGCCGAAAGAUCGGCCCGCGUCUGAUUAGCUAGUUGGUGAGGUAACGGCUCACCAAGGCGACGAUCAGUAGCUGGUCUGAGAGGAUGAUCAGCCACAUUGGGACUGAGACACGGCCCAGACUCCUACGGGAGGCAGCAGUGGGGAAUAUUGGACAAUGGGGGCAACCCUGAUCCAGCCAUGCCGCGUGAGUGAUGAAGGCCUUCGGGUUGUAAAGCUCUUUCGCCCACGACGAUGAUGACGGUAGUGGGAGAAGAAGCCCCGGCUAACUUCGUGCCAGCAGCCGC
Molecule: ribosomal RNA, 443 nt
Filed under: uncultured bacterium
Lineage: Bacteria
Description: SSU rRNA
Rfam family: Bacterial small subunit ribosomal RNA
Source: RNAcentral